RNAcentral lists this ribosomal RNA (1130 nucleotides) under human gut metagenome. RNAcentral's name for it is "bacterial LSU rRNA". It matches the Rfam family "Bacterial large subunit ribosomal RNA", at positions 1380 to 2509 of the family's 2925-position model. The record is from RNAcentral.
UUAGCCGGAUCCUAAGGCCAGGCCGAAAGGCGUAGUCGAUGGACAACGGGUUAAUAUUCCCGUGCCGCCUUAACGGAGUGACGGAGUGACGCAGUAUGCUAAGCGAGCUGGCUAUAUGCCAGUCUAAUGUCGUAGGACGUCAGGGGUUAAAUGACCUGACAUCAAGUCUGAAAACGGAUGGGACUCGAAGCCUUCGGGUAACGGGGAUUCGCUGAUGCUUUGCUGACGAGAAAAGCUCCUAAACGUUGAUGUUUUGGCGUCCGUACCGUAAACCGACACAGGUGGUCGAGGCGAGUAGCCUAAGGUGCGCGAGUGAAACCACUUCAAGGAACUCGGCAAAUUAGCCCCGUAACUUUGGGAGAAGGGGUGCCGAACGGGUGCAUAGCCCGGACGGUUUCAACAAAGAGGCCGCGGCGACUGUUUAACAAAAACAUAGCUCUCUGCUAACUCGCAAGAGGAUGUAUAGGGAGUGACACGUGACCAAUGCCGAAAGGUCAAUCGGAUCCGUUAGCAGAAAUGCGAAGCGGUGAUGUGAAGCCCCGGUGAAUGUCGGCCGUAACUAUAACGGUCCUAAGGUAGCGAAAUUCCUUGUCGGGUAAGUUCCGACCUGCACGAAUCGUGUAACGAUCGCGGCACUGUCUCGAAGUGGAGCUCGGCGAAGUUGUAAUUCCGGUGAAAAUGCCGGAUACCUGCAGUAGGACGGAAAGACCCUGUGAACCUUUACUGUAAUCUGAUAUUGGCAUUCGGGUGUUAAUGUGUAGGAUAGGUGGGAGACUGUGAAGCAGACGCGCUAGCCUCUGUGGAGUCAACGGUGAAAUACCACCCUUUAUAACUUGAAUGUCUAACCUCAGCCCGUGAAUCCGGGCGGGAGACAGUGUCAGAGGGUCAGUUUGACUGGGGCGGUUUCCUCCAAAAUUGUAACGGAGGAGCACGAAGGUACACUCAGAGCGGUUGGCAAUCGUUCGAAGAGCGUAAGGGUAUAAGUGUGCUUAACUGCGAGACAGACACGUCGAGCAGAUACGAAAGUAGGUCCUAGUGAUCCAGCGAUAGAACGUGGAAUCGUCGUUGCUCAACGGACAAAAGGUACUCCGGGGAUAACAGGCUGAUAGCGUCCAAGCGUCCAUAGCGAC